RNAcentral lists this ribosomal RNA (460 nucleotides) under uncultured bacterium. Its description in RNAcentral is "partial 16S ribosomal RNA". It matches the Rfam family "Bacterial small subunit ribosomal RNA", at positions 338 to 795 of the family's 1533-position model. The record is from RNAcentral.
CCUACGGGUGGCAGCAGUGAGGAAUAUUGGUCAAUGGGCGCGAGCCUGAACCAGCCAAGUAGCGUGAAGGAUGACUGCCCUACGGGUUGGAAACUUCUUUUAUAAAGGAAUAAAGUGAGGCACGUGUGCCUUUUUGUAUGUACUUUAUGAAUAAGGAUCGGCUAACUCCGUGCCAGCAGCCGCGGUAAUACGGAGGAUCCGAGAGUUAUCCGGAUUUAUUGGGUUUAAAGGGAGCGUAGGUGGGUUGUUAAGUCAGUUGUGAAAGUUUGCGGCUCAACCGUAAAAUUGCAAUUGAUACUGGCGGUCUUGAGUGCAGUUGAGGUAGGCGGAAUUCGUGGUGUAGCGGUGAAAUGCUUAGAUAUCGCGAAGAACUCCGAUUGCGAAGGCAGCUUACUAAGCUGCCACUGACAUUGAUGCUCGAAAGUGUGGGUAUCAAACAGGAUUAGAUACCCGUGUAGUC